GCCCUGAUGCAACUGAUACAGACAGAGGAAGUUAAGAAGUUGUUGUCCUCAUCAGAAUGAAAACAGAAUGGCUUUUCUAGACAUGUGUUAAGGGAGCAAAUCACACCAGUCUGAUCCAGCAAGAGAUUUAUACUUCUAUUGAUUCGGAGAGUAGCUGGAACAUGUCCUGUUUUUCCAGUGAAGGGACUUCAGGAUGUGCUUAGUGACCACGUCAAGACUGACUGGGAAUGAUUAACUGCUGUGAGGUGGAAGUCAUGGAGGCUUCCUGCUCCUUACCUCUCAGACUGUUUCACCCACGUGGGAAAAAAUACCCUCCUUUUUGGUUGGCCAAAAAUCAGAAAUCUUUUCUGCUCCCCAUGUGUUGUGUAUAAGUGUUCACCACCAAGGAGACCUACAGAAAUUAUGCUCUGAACUUGAACUUCUGUUAAGUGCCUAAUGUUAGAUGGAGUGAAGCUGGCUUCAUUUCUGCAAUUCACCCUUUUUCAUAAUGACAUUACCCAAUACCAAGAAGGUGUUGACUGGAAAGAUAUGUCAAGAAGUUUGUUGUCUCUGCAGCUCCAAGGCAAACAGUGAUAUUGGUAGCACAUUCAUAAUUCAACAUGGUUAAAUGCCAAGGGCCGAACAGAGAGCACCCUCCCGGCCAGUACGAGCAGAAUGACAUUCAUGGUUGAUUCAGCUCCUUGCAGCAAGCUGUGUAAUUGGAAAAGCCAAGGGAAAUGACCCCAGUCUCUGUGUCCUGCUGAUGUCAAAAUGCAUUGGUAUCACUCUGACAAGUGGCCAGUUUGGAGGCUUCCUCAGAAUAAGAGUCUGUGAAGAAAGGCGGGAGGCGUCAGAAAUACCUCUAGCACAGGUAGGGUGUGCAGUACAGGGCAGCUGAAUCUGUGCCUCGGUGUUGAAGAAGAUUGAGGAGAGCAGGCUCAGAAGAGGACAUCUGUUUAGCCUAAUUUGGUAUCUUAAUUACACUGCAUGAUAUGCACCAAUGUGCUUAAUGACACUUGUACUUAAUAAAUGUGUAGACACUGCUGUAAAGCUGAUCAGUGCAAUCAAUAGAAAUGGAUAGAAUUUUUGAAGAUGACACUGUAUUCAAACCAAAAAAAAAAAAAAAAAGAUCUGUAAUUUAUCUGGUCUGGGAGGAAGGGGAAAUUAUAA
Long non-coding RNA from Passer domesticus (house sparrow), 1149 nucleotides. RefSeq lists it as uncharacterized. The transcript has 4 exons. Lineage: Eukaryota; Metazoa; Chordata; Aves; Passeriformes; Passeridae. The record is from RefSeq and is a predicted model, not a curated record.